This 253-nucleotide ribosomal RNA is filed under the name uncultured bacterium. RNAcentral's name for it is "partial 16S ribosomal RNA". It matches the Rfam family "Bacterial small subunit ribosomal RNA", at positions 524 to 776 of the family's 1533-position model. The record is from RNAcentral.
UACAGAGGGGGCAAGCGUUAUUCGGAAUUACUGGGCGUAAAGAGCGCGCAGGCGGUCAAGUAAGUCGAAUGUGAAAGCCCCCGGCUCAACUGGGGAGGGUCAUUCGAUACUGCUCGACUUGAAGGCAGGAGAGGGCAGCAGAAUUCCCGGUGUAGUGGUGAAAUGCGUAGAGAUGUGGAGGAACACCGAUGGCGAAGGCAGCCCCCUGGGUCAAGAUUGACGCUCAUGCACGAAAGCGUGGGGAGCAAACAGG